This 1778-nucleotide unclassified non-coding RNA is filed under the name Hevea brasiliensis (rubber tree). Lineage: Eukaryota; Viridiplantae; Streptophyta; Magnoliopsida; Malpighiales; Euphorbiaceae. The record is from RNAcentral.
UAGUUCGAUCACAGAGGAUGAUAAUUGCGUCGGUGAAGCUUCACGCCAUUUUGAUACUGUGGCUGACCCCUGCGCUAGCAGUGGCUGCUUCUCUAGCAAACCCUACAUGUCAGGACACUUGCGGUGGCGUUGUAAUUACCUUCCCAUUUGGGAUUGGGAAAGGUUGUUACAUGAGUGAGAGUUUUGAGGUAACUUGCAACUAUUCUUUCACACCUCCAAAGCCUUUCUUAGCUAGCAUCAACAUGGAAUUGCUGGCCGUGUUGACAACAAGCCAAGUUCAAAUCAACAAUCCUGUAAUUUCUUCCAAUUGCAGCGACAAAACCUCUAAUAUUAGAGGGGUCUCCCUGUCAGACAGCCCUUUCGUCUUUUCAGAUGCUUCUAACAGAUUCACGGCCAUGGGUUGCGACAAUUAUGCAAUGCUUCUCCAGGGUCUUGGUAACACUGUUGGUGGGUGCCUGUCAAUUUGUCUUAGUGGAUCUAAUACAACUACAAGUGGCUGCUAUGGCCUCAAUUGCUGCCAAUCUGAAAUUCCUCCUUAUGUCCAGUCAUUUGAAGCAAACAUGACAAACCCCUUCGGCGAUACAGAGGAUCGCGGCGGAUGCAAAUCGGCCUUCAUGGUUGACCAAGAUUGGUUUAAGUCUCAGUCAUCAACAUCAAAAAGCCUUGAUGAUCUGAAGCAGAUGGAUCGUGUCCCUGCGGUGCUUAAUUGGGCAGUGGAUCAAGGGUAUUGUGAUAUAAGUAAAGCCUCUAACAUCUCCUGUACCCCUGACGGUAUUUAUUGUUGGAAAGAAUUCAACAGAAGUCAAGUCUGUAUUUGCAGUGGAUGUCAAGAUAUGAGCAGAUGCACAAAUCCAAGUAACUAUUUCGACUGCCGACUGCAUUGCAUGUACGGCCCAAGAGGGUACAUAUACAGUUGCAAGUGUCCUCCUGGACAUUCCCAAAGUUACGGUAGAUGCUACCCAGAUGACUUUUUUGAAGGAAAAUCUCGGGCCAAGAAGAUUAUCACGAUAGCUUGUGGUUCAGGUCUUGGAUUGUUGUUAUUAAUUAUUGGGAUUUGGACAUUGUACAAAAUAAUAAAGAGAAGACGAGCCAUGAAGCUUAAACAAAAAUUUUUCCAAAGAAAUGGUGGAUUGUUACUACAACAACAACUAUCUUCUAGUGAAAGUCAUGUUGAACAAACGAGACUAUUCACUUCCAAGGAGUUGGAGAAAGCAACCGACCAUUAUCAUGUGAAUCGAAUCGUUGGCCAAGGAGGUCAAGGAACAGUUUACAAAGGAAUGUUGACAGAUGGAAGAGUUGUAGCUAUUAAGAAAUCUAAAGUAGUUGAUGAAGACAAGCUCGACCAAUUUAUCAACGAGGUGGUAAUUUUAUCACAAAUCAAUCAUAGAAAUGUGGUUAAACUACUUGGAUGUUGCCUGGAGACUGAAGUUCCUCUGCUAGUAUAUGAAUUCAUCCCUAAUGGAACUCUUUUUCAACAUAUACAAGAACAAAGUGAAGAGUUCCCAAUUACAUGGGAAGUACGUUUGCGGAUCGCCACAGAAGUUGCAAGUGCUCUAUCCUAUUUGCAUUCUGCAGCUUCCAUACCCAUUUUUCAUCGAGACAUCAAGUCUUCAAAUAUACUUUUAGAUGAGAAAUAUAGAGCAAAAGUGGCAGAUUUUGGCACCUCAAAAUCAAUUUCAAUUGAUCAAACGCAUGUGACCACACGAGUUCAAGGAACAUUUGGAUAUUUAGAUCCUGAAUAUUUCCAGUCAAGUCAAUUUACAGAUAAAAGUGAUGUU